CAAGCCGAUUAUUAGGCAGGCGCAUCUGUGGGCAGCCUAGUGUUGUUGUGGAACACGUGUUCGACGCACACUGCCCCUAGAGUCAUUUUCCAGCAGAGUGAGCAGACCUCAUCCAGUGCCUAAGGAAGGAGCUAAGUUCCUUGGAGAAAACAAUCCUCUCAAGCUCUGGCAGGUUGGACGGGGACCGUCAGUGGACAGCCAUUUUCAGGUCUCUCCAGAGAUGUUCAAUUGGGUUCAAGUCUGGGCUCUGGCUGGUCCACUAAAGGACAUUUACAGUGUUGUCACGUAUUUCCUUCAACCCUGACCAGUCCCCCAGUCCCUGCCGCUGAAAAACACCCCCACAGCAUGAUGCUACCACCAUGCUUCACCGUUAGGAUGGUACCGCACAGGUGAGAAACGGGGCCUGGUCCUCCAGACAUGACGCUUUGAAUUGAGGCCAAACAGUUUAAUCUUCAU
Xyrauchen texanus (razorback sucker) is the source of this 456-nucleotide long non-coding RNA. RefSeq lists it as uncharacterized. The transcript is spliced from 3 exons. NCBI's taxonomy places the organism in Eukaryota, Metazoa, Chordata, Actinopteri, Cypriniformes, Catostomidae. The record is from RefSeq and is a predicted model, not a curated record.